Molecule: long non-coding RNA, 429 nt
Organism: Monodelphis domestica (gray short-tailed opossum)
Lineage: Eukaryota; Metazoa; Chordata; Mammalia; Didelphimorphia; Didelphidae
Source: Ensembl
UUUCUGGUGAUCCUCAACCAUCUGACAUCUGAUUGUGAGAACAGCCCUGGGUCCUUUUGGAUCUAGGACCUUCCCUGGACCCCAUCAGGUGUAGUGGAGAGAGCAGCAGAUUAAGAAUCAGAGGAGUUCCUGGCUUCAGAUCCCAGCUCUAUGACUUAGGCAAGUCAUUUAACUUUUCUAGGCCUUGUUUUGCUGAUCUAUCAAAUAAAGAAGUUCAUUAGAUGAACUUUAAAUGUUUCUCUUAGUUUUACACUUCUGAUUCACAUUAAAAUUUUCUCUAUCCUCUCUUGGAAACAGGAAAACUAUCUUUAAGAACAAUAUUAAUUUAUCCCAACAUAUUCAUGGGAUUUGUUGUGAUCAAUGUGAGUCAAGCAUGAUACCUGGUACAUAGAAGAUGUCAAAUAAAUACUUGAUUGAUUAAUUAAUACA